AUUAUGGAGAGUUUGAUCCUGGCUCAGGACGAACGCUGGCGGCAUGCCUAAUACAUGCAAGUCGAGCGAAUGACGAAGAAGCUUGCUUCUUCUGAUUUAGCGGCGGACGGGUGAGUAACACGUGGGCA
This 128-nucleotide ribosomal RNA is filed under the name Psychrobacillus psychrodurans. RNAcentral describes it as "partial 16S ribosomal RNA". It matches the Rfam family "Bacterial small subunit ribosomal RNA", at positions 1 to 123 of the family's 1533-position model. The record is from RNAcentral. Lineage: Bacteria; Bacillati; Bacillota; Bacilli; Caryophanales; Bacillaceae.